Long non-coding RNA from Xenopus tropicalis (tropical clawed frog), 499 nucleotides. RefSeq lists it as uncharacterized. The transcript is spliced from 3 exons. NCBI's taxonomy places the organism in Eukaryota, Metazoa, Chordata, Amphibia, Anura, Pipidae. The record is from RefSeq and is a predicted model, not a curated record.
UUGUACAUAGUUGUUGCAUAUCUACACCUGUAUACUUCUAUUCCCUUAGAAGACUGUAUCUGGAGAACAACCAUGUCUGCUAAAGGAAGCCAAUGCAAAGAUCCUGACCCCUGCCAUCCAGUGGUGCAAUGCCAGGAUCCCAAGCCCCAGUGCAAAGAUCCUUGUGCACCAGUUGAUCCCUGCCAGCAACAAGGGCAAGGGCAUGGUCAAGGGCAUCAGGGUCACCACCAUCAUCAUCACCAGCAUGGAGGACAAAGUGGCCAAGGAUGUGGAGGAGCCAAGAAGUAAAAAACAAUGGAAAUCACUAUAUUACUUUUACUUAGCUGAAAGCACAUUGAAAAUAAUUAUCAUGUAUUGUUAUUUCUCAAAUUAAUUCAGUAGCUGUUUAUUCAUGUUUUUAACUUGAAUAAACUCUUUUGGUAUUAUUAUUGUGUGCAUCAGCAAGAUUUUGUGAAAUCAGCAAGAUCUUUGAGUAUUAAAUAAACAUUUAUCAAAACAA